RNAcentral lists this non-coding RNA (177 nucleotides) under Geobacter sp. RNAcentral's name for it is "6S RNA". It matches the Rfam family "6S / SsrS RNA". Rfam says of the family: E. coli 6S RNA was the first non coding RNA to be sequenced, but its function was unknown until recently. It consists of 184 nucleotides that fold into an extended hairpin structure with a large single-stranded internal bulge. The record is from RNAcentral. Lineage: Bacteria; Pseudomonadati; Thermodesulfobacteriota; Desulfuromonadia; Geobacterales; Geobacteraceae.
GUCUCUCUGCCAUGUUUGUGAGGUUAUCAAGCCCCUGCGGAAUAUUUAUAAAACGGGUGUUUUUCAGGUCGUGGUGUGCUGCCCCUUUUUGCGGGAUUUGCCUGAAACGAUACAAAGAUGCCCACAUAAUUGGGAACUCGCUGUGAGGCCCCAAACCCACGGCAGAGUGGAGAGACU